AACGAACGCUGGCGGCAGGCUUAACACAUGCAAGUCGAGCGCCUCGCAAGAGGAGCGGCAGACGGGUGAGUAACGCGUGGGAAUCUACCCAUCUCUACGGAACAACUCCGGGAAACUGGAGCUAAUACCGUAUACGUCCUUCGGGAGAAAGAUUUAUCGGAGAUGGAUGAGCCCGCGUUGGAUUAGCUAGUUGGUGGGGUAAUGGCCUACCAAGGCGACGAUCCAUAGCUGGUCUGAGAGGAUGAUCAGCCACACUGGGACUGAGACACGGCCCAGACUCCUACGGGAGGCAGCAGUGGGGAAUAUUGGACAAUGGGCGAAAGCCUGAUCCAGCCAUGCCGCGUGAGUGAUGAAGGCCCUAGGGUUGUAAAGCUCUUUCAACGGUGAAGAUAAUGACGGUAACCGUAGAAGAAGCCCCGGCUAACUUCGUG
RNAcentral lists this ribosomal RNA (431 nucleotides) under uncultured Mesorhizobium sp. RNAcentral describes it as "bacterial SSU rRNA". It matches the Rfam family "Bacterial small subunit ribosomal RNA", at positions 29 to 507 of the family's 1533-position model. Lineage: Bacteria; Pseudomonadati; Pseudomonadota; Alphaproteobacteria; Hyphomicrobiales; Phyllobacteriaceae. The record is from RNAcentral.